UUAAUUGAAGAGUUUGAUCAUGGCUCAGAUUGAACGCUGGCGGCAGGCCUAACACAUGCAAGUCGAGCGGCAGCACAGAGGAACUUGUUCCUUGGGUGGCGAGCGGCGGACGGGUGAGUAAUGCCUGGGAAAUUGCCCGGUAGAGGGGGGAUAACCAUUGGAAACGAUGGCUAAUACCGCAUAACCUCGCAAGAGCAAAGCAGGGGACC
This 209-nucleotide ribosomal RNA is filed under the name Vibrio cholerae O1 biovar El Tor str. N16961. RNAcentral describes it as "partial 16S ribosomal RNA". It matches the Rfam family "Bacterial small subunit ribosomal RNA", at positions 1 to 212 of the family's 1533-position model. The record is from RNAcentral. Lineage: Bacteria; Pseudomonadati; Pseudomonadota; Gammaproteobacteria; Vibrionales; Vibrionaceae.